AAACUCAAAUGAAUUGACGGGACCCCGCACAAGCGGUGGAUUAUGUUGUUUAAUUCGACGCAACGCGAAGAACCUUACCAGGCCUUGACAUACUCGGCAAAGCUCUAGAGAUAGAGUGGAGGUUAUCCGGGAUACAGGUGGUGCAUGGUUGUCGUCAGCUCGUGUCGUGAGAUGUUGGGUUAAGUCCCGCAACGAGCGCAACCCUUGUCUUUAGUUACCAUCAUUCAGUUGGGGACUCUAGAGAGACUGCCGGUGAUAAACCGGAGGAAGUGGGGAUGACGUCAAAUCAUCAUGCCCCUUAUGGCCUGGGCUACAAACGUAAUACAAUGGCGUAUACAAAGGGAUGCGAAAGGGCGACCUGGAGCAAAACUCACAAAGUACGUCUCAGUUCAGAUUGGAGUCUGCAACUCGACUCCAUGAAGGCGGAAUCGCUAGUAAUCGCGGAUCAGCAUGCCGCGGUGAAUACGUUCUCGGGGUUU
RNAcentral lists this ribosomal RNA (479 nucleotides) under uncultured Erysipelothrix sp. RNAcentral's name for it is "bacterial SSU rRNA". It matches the Rfam family "Bacterial small subunit ribosomal RNA", at positions 897 to 1382 of the family's 1533-position model. The record is from RNAcentral. Lineage: Bacteria; Bacillati; Bacillota; Erysipelotrichia; Erysipelotrichales; Erysipelotrichaceae.